CGGCAACAGCUCAAAUUUGAAAUCUGGCCCUCGGGUCCGAAUUGUAAUUUGUAGAGGAUGCUUUUGGUGAGGUACCUUCCGAGUUCCCUGGAACGGGACGCCAUAGAGGGUGAGAAUCCCGUAUGUGACUGGGUGCUUUUGCCUAUGUAAAGCUCUUUCGAC
RNAcentral lists this ribosomal RNA (162 nucleotides) under Nectriaceae sp. Its description in RNAcentral is "partial large subunit ribosomal RNA". It matches the Rfam family "Eukaryotic large subunit ribosomal RNA", at positions 99 to 261 of the family's 3401-position model. Lineage: Eukaryota; Fungi; Ascomycota; Sordariomycetes; Hypocreales; Nectriaceae. The record is from RNAcentral.